GACGGCCUUCGGGUUGUAAACCUCUUUCAGUAGGGAAGAAGCGAAAGUGACGGUACCUGCAGAAGAAGCACCGGCUAACUACGUGCCAGCAGCCGCGGUAAUACGUAGGGUGCGAGCGUUAUCCGGAAUUAUUGGGCGUAAAGAGCUCGUAGGCGGUUUGUCGCGUCUGUCGUGAAAGUCCGGGGCUUAACCCCGGAUCUGCGGUGGGUACGGGCAGACUANAGUGCAGUAGGGGAGACUGGAAUUCCUGGUG
This 253-nucleotide ribosomal RNA is filed under the name Bacillus arbutinivorans. RNAcentral's name for it is "partial 16S ribosomal RNA". It matches the Rfam family "Bacterial small subunit ribosomal RNA", at positions 410 to 675 of the family's 1533-position model. Lineage: Bacteria; Bacillati; Bacillota; Bacilli; Caryophanales; Bacillaceae. The record is from RNAcentral.